Molecule: long non-coding RNA, 348 nt
Organism: Prosopis cineraria
Lineage: Eukaryota; Viridiplantae; Streptophyta; Magnoliopsida; Fabales; Fabaceae
Exons: 2
Source: RefSeq, a predicted model, not a curated record
GGAGGGGCGUGUGAUGAGAAAGAAAGCAUACCGGUGCAGAUUCAUCUUCUGGGAUUUUGGCUUCAGUCUCCAUUUUACAUGCUAGUUUCGAUUGUGCUGGAGAUUCUGGUUGCUUCAAACUGAAGCUCCGCACGACGUUAAAUACAUGUAUAUUGUGAAACUUGGAAAUGAUACAUCUGACUUUAGACUUCUGAAGUGACUUAGAAAUGACAAAGCACCACCUGUAAUAUGCUAAUGUAUAUCAGUGAGUUGGCCACAAAUGACAUGGUCCUUCUGAUGUAUCAGUCGCAUGCCAUAAUGAACAACUCCGUGUGAAUGACAAAAUUUUCAAUUUUUUGUUCGCUCAAA